RNAcentral lists this ribosomal RNA (542 nucleotides) under uncultured bacterium. Its description in RNAcentral is "bacterial SSU rRNA". It matches the Rfam family "Bacterial small subunit ribosomal RNA", at positions 776 to 1318 of the family's 1533-position model. The record is from RNAcentral.
CAAUAGACUACCCCGGUAGUCCACGCCGUAAACGAUGAGUGCUAAGUGUUAGGGGUUUCCGCCCUUAGUGCUGCAGCUAACGCAUUAAGCACUCCGCCUGGGGAGUACGGUCGCAAGACUGAAACUCAAAGGAAUUGACGGGGGCCCGCACAAGCGGUGGAGCAUGUGGUUUAAUUCGAAGCAACGCGAAGAACCUUACCAGGUCUUGACAUCCCACUGACCGCUAUGGAGACAUAGUUUUCCCUUCGGGGACAGUGGUGACAGGUGGUGCAUGGUUGUCGUCAGCUCGUGUCGUGAGAUGUUGGGUUAAGUCCCGCAACGAGCGCAACCCUUGAUCUUAGUUGCCAUCAUUUAGUUGGGCACUCUAAGGUGACUGCCGGUGACAAACCGGAGGAAGGUGGGGAUGACGUCAAAUCAUCAUGCCCCUUAUGACCUGGGCUGCACACGUGCUACAAUGGACGGUACAAACGGUUGCCAACCCGCGAGGGGAGCUAAUCCGAUAAAACCGUUCUCAGUUCGGAUUGUAGGCUGCAACUCGCCUA